UGCCAGCCGCCGCGGUAACACGGGGGGAGCAAGCGUUGUUCGGAAUCACUGGGCGUAAAGGGCGUGUAGGCGGUUCGUUAAGUCUGAUGUGAAAGCCCGGGGCUCAACCCCGGAAGUGCAUUGGAAACUGGCGAACUUGAGUACGGGAGAGGAAAGUGGAAUUCCGAGUGUAGGGGUGAAAUCCGUAGAUAUUCGGAGGUGCACCAGUGGCGAAGGCGGCUUUCUGGACCGAUACUGACGCUGAGACGCGAAAGCGUGGGGAGCAAACAGGAUUAUAUA
RNAcentral lists this ribosomal RNA (279 nucleotides) under uncultured bacterium. RNAcentral describes it as "partial 16S ribosomal RNA". It matches the Rfam family "Bacterial small subunit ribosomal RNA", at positions 506 to 784 of the family's 1533-position model. The record is from RNAcentral.